GAUGAACGCUGGCGGCGUGCCUAAUACAUGCAAGUCGAGCGAACAGAUGAGGAGCUUGCUCCUCUGACGUUAGCGGCGGACGGGUGAGUAACACGUGGAUAACCUACCUAUAAGACUGGGAUAACUUCGGGAAACCGGAGCUAAUACCGGAUAAUAUAUUGAACCGCAUGGUUCAAUAGUGAAAGACGGUUUUGCUGUCACUUAUAGAUGGAUCCGCGCCGCAUUAGCUAGUUGGUAAGGUAACGGCUUACCAAGGCAACGAUGCGUAGCCGACCUGAGAGGGUGAUCGGCCACACUGGAACUGAGACACGGUCCAGACUCCUACGGGAGGCAGCAGUAGGGAAUCUUCCGCAGUGGGCGAAAGCUUGACGGAGCAACGCCGCGUGAGUGAUGAAGGUCUUCGGAUCGUAAAACGCUGUUAUUAGGGAAGAACAAAUGUGUAAGUAACUAUGCACGUCUUGACGGUACCUAAUCAGAAAGCCACGGCUAACUACGU
This 496-nucleotide ribosomal RNA is filed under the name uncultured bacterium. RNAcentral describes it as "partial 16S ribosomal RNA". It matches the Rfam family "Bacterial small subunit ribosomal RNA", at positions 28 to 506 of the family's 1533-position model. The record is from RNAcentral.